GUUUCAUUGAAACAAAAGUCACACAGAAGAGGAGAAGAAGGAAGAGAAGCAAAAUACUCUGAGGUUUCCUUGGAACAAAACCCUGGAGGAAAAAGAAAGUGAGAGAAGAGUCAACAGAGUUCAGAGCAACCUCCGGACACUGAAGGGAACUCAUUGGCAAAGAACCAGUUCUACCUCAUAUAAACCCUGAGAUUGUUCUGCAAACCCCGGUGCAAUCCAAUUUCAAUCAAGCUCUCCAAUCAGGUUUGCCCUAUAUCCAUCAUCUCUAUGCUUUCAAUUUGAAUUUUCUGAAUGUAUGAGGUAUUAUGGGUGAAUUUGAUACCCUUUUGAUGCAUAUGUUUAACAAGAGGUUUAG
Molecule: long non-coding RNA, 355 nt
Filed under: Lathyrus oleraceus (garden pea)
Lineage: Eukaryota; Viridiplantae; Streptophyta; Magnoliopsida; Fabales; Fabaceae
Description: Pisum sativum (pea) long non-coding RNA (PSAT_LNC019155)
Source: RNAcentral